RNAcentral lists this ribosomal RNA (886 nucleotides) under uncultured Capnocytophaga sp. Its description in RNAcentral is "bacterial SSU rRNA". It matches the Rfam family "Bacterial small subunit ribosomal RNA", at positions 76 to 965 of the family's 1533-position model. Lineage: Bacteria; Pseudomonadati; Bacteroidota; Flavobacteriia; Flavobacteriales; Flavobacteriaceae. The record is from RNAcentral.
CCCUUCGGGGCAGAAACCGGCGCACGGGUGCGUAACGCGUAUGCAACCUACCUUUUACAGGGGGAUAGCCCGAAGAAAUUUGGAUUAAUAUCCCAUAAUAUUAUUGGAUGGCAUCAUUUGAUAAUUAAAACUACGGUGGUAAAAGAUGGGCAUGCGUCCUAUUAGCUAGUUGGAGUGGUAACGGCACCCCAAGGCUACGAUAGGUAGGGGUCCUGAGAGGGAGAUCCCCCACACUGGUACUGAGACAGGGACCAGACUCCUACGGGAGGCAGCAGUGAGGAAUAUUGGUCAAUGGUCGGAAGACUGAACCAGCCAUGCCGCGUGCAGGAAGAAUGCCUUAUGGGUUGUAAACUGCUUUUAUAUAGGAAGAAUAAGAUGUACGAGUACAUUGAUGACGGUACUAUAUGAAUAAGCAUCGGCUAACUCCGUGCCAGCAGCCGCGGUAAUACGGAGGAUGCGAGCGUUAUUCGGAAUCAUUGGGUUUAAAGGGUCUGUAGGCGGGCUAUUAAGUCAGGGGUGAAAGGUUUCAGCUUAACUGAGAAAUUGCCUUUGAUACUGGUAGUCUUGAAUAUCUGUGAAGUUCUUGGAAUGUGUAGUGUAGCGGUGAAAUGCUUAGAUAUUACACAGAACACCGAUUGCGAAGGCAGGGGGCUAACAGACGAUUGACGCUGAGAGACGAAAGCGUGGGGAGCGAACAGGAUUAGAUACCCUGGUAGUCCACGCUGUAAACGAUGGAUACUAGCUGUUUGGUUGUUAAGACUGAGUGGCUAAGCGAAAGUGAUAAGUAUCCCACCUGGGGAGUACGCACGCAAGUGUGAAACUCAAAGGAAUUGACGGGGGCCCGCACAAGCGGUGGAGCAUGUGGUUUAAUUCGAUGCAACGCGAA